GCGGUAAUUCCAGCUCUGUAAGCGUAUACCAAAGUUGUUGCAGUUAAAACGCUCGUAGUCGAAUUUUGGCGUGGUGCUUCCGAAGCCCCUGAUUGGGUGUUGAGGGUAGUCCCGCCUUUGUGGAUGGGGGUGUGGUGGCUCUUUGUUGAGUUGCCGCAUUUCCGCCACUGUUUACUGUGAAAAAAUUAGAGUGUUCAAAGCGAGCGAUUGCCAUGAAUACAUUAGCAUGGAAUAAUAGAAUAGGACCUGGUCCUGUUUUGUUGGUUUGUCGGUAUCAGGUAAUGAUUAAGAGGGACGGUCGGGGGCAUUUGUAUUCCAGGGUUAGAGGUGAAAUUCUUGGAUU
Molecule: ribosomal RNA, 343 nt
Filed under: uncultured rhodophyte
Lineage: Eukaryota; Rhodophyta
Description: SSU rRNA
Rfam family: Eukaryotic small subunit ribosomal RNA
Source: RNAcentral